This 445-nucleotide ribosomal RNA is filed under the name uncultured bacterium. RNAcentral's name for it is "bacterial SSU rRNA". It matches the Rfam family "Bacterial small subunit ribosomal RNA", at positions 331 to 792 of the family's 1533-position model. The record is from RNAcentral.
CCAGACUCCUACGGGAGGCAGCAGUGGGGAAUAUUGCACAAUGGGGGGAACCCUGAUGCAGCGACGCCGCGUGGGUGAAGGAGUACUUCGGUACGUAAAGCCCUAUCGGCAGGGAAGAAGCAAGACGGUACCUGACUAAGAAGCCCCGGCUAACUACGUGCCAGCAGCCGCGGUAAUACGUAGGGGGCGAGCGUUAUCCGGAUUCACUGGGUGUAAAGGGAGCGUAGACGGCCAUGCAAGCCAGGGGUGAAAGCCCGGGGCCCAACCCCGGGACUGUCCUUGGAACUGCAUGGCUGGAGUGCGGGAGGGGCAGGCGGAAUUCCUGGUGUAGCGGUGAAAUGCGUAGAUAUCAGGAGGAACACCGGCGGCGAAGGCGGCCUGCUGGACGGAUACUGACGCUGAGGCUCGAAAGCGUGGGGAGCGAACAGGAUUAGAUACCCGAGUA